UAGGGAAUCUUCGGCAAUGGGGGGAACCCUGACCGAGCAACGCCGCGUGAGUGAAGAAGGUUUUCGGAUCGUAAAGCUCUGUUGUUAAGGAAGAACGAGUGUGAGAAUGGAAAGUUCAUACUGUGACGGUACUUAACCAGAAAGGGACGGCUAACUACGUUCCAGCAGCCGCGGUAAUACGUAGGUCCCGAGCGUUGUCCGGAUUUAUUGGGCGUAAAGCGAGCGCAGGCGGUUAGAUAAGUCUGAAGUUAAAGGCAGUGGCUCAACCAUUGUAGGCUUUGGAAACUGUUUAACUUGAGUGCAGAAGGGGAGAGUGGAAUUCCAUGUGUAACGGUGAAAUGCGUAGAUAUAUGGAGGAACACCAGUGGCGAAGGCGACUCUCUGGUCUGUAACUGACGCUGAGGCUCGAAAGCGUGGGUAGCAAACAGG
RNAcentral lists this ribosomal RNA (429 nucleotides) under Bacteroidota bacterium. Its description in RNAcentral is "Bacteroidetes bacterium partial 16S ribosomal RNA". It matches the Rfam family "Bacterial small subunit ribosomal RNA", at positions 355 to 776 of the family's 1533-position model. Lineage: Bacteria; Pseudomonadati; Bacteroidota. The record is from RNAcentral.